This 496-nucleotide ribosomal RNA is filed under the name uncultured bacterium. RNAcentral describes it as "partial 16S ribosomal RNA". It matches the Rfam family "Bacterial small subunit ribosomal RNA", at positions 29 to 507 of the family's 1533-position model. The record is from RNAcentral.
AUGAACGCUGGCGGCGUGCCUCAUACAUGCACGUCGAGCGAACAGAUGAGGAGCUUGCUCCUCUGACGUUAGCGGCGGACGGGUGAGUAACACGUGGAUAACCUACCUAUAAGACUGGGAUAACUUCGGGAAACCGGAGCUAAUACCGGAUAAUAUAUUGAACCGCAUGGUUCAAUAGUGAAAGACGGUUUUGCUGUCACUUAUAGAUGGAUCCGCGCCGCAUUAGCUAGUUGGUAAGGUAACGGCUUACCAAGGCAACGAUGCGUAGCCGACCUGAGAGGGUGAUCGGCCACACUGGAACUGAGACACGGUCCAGACUCCUACGGGAGGCAGCAGUAGGGAAUCUUCCGCAAUGGGCGAAAGCUUGACGGAGCAACGCCGCGUGAGUGAUGAAGGUCUUCGGAUCGUAAAACUCUGUUAUUAGGGAAGAACAAAUGUGUAAGUAACUAUGCACGUCUUGACGGUACCUAAUCAGAAAGCCACGGCUAACUACGUG